CCUACGUGGGGCAGCAGUGGGGAAUAUUGCGCAAUGGGCGAAAGCCUGACGCAGCGACGCCGCGUGAGGGAUGAAGGUCUUCGGAUCGUAAACCUCUGUCAGCAGGGAAGAACGGUCACUGUGCUAAUCAGCAGUGAAUUGACGGUACCUGCAAAGGAAGCACCGGCUAACUCCGUGCCAGCAGCCGCGGUAAUACGGAGGGUGCGAGCGUUAAUCGGAAGUACGGGGCGUAAAGCGCUCGUAGGCGGUAUGUCAAGUCAAGGGUGAAAUCCCCGCGCUUAACGUGGGAACUGCCUUUGAAACUGGCAAACAGGAGUGUGUGAGAGGAUAGUGGAAUUCCAGGUGUAGGAGUGAAAUCCGUAGAUAUCUGGAGGAACAUCAGUGGCGAAGGCGACUAUCUGGCACAUAACUGACGCUGAGGAGCGAAAGCGUGGGUAGCAAACAGGAUUAGAUACCCCAGUAGUC
Molecule: ribosomal RNA, 465 nt
Filed under: uncultured bacterium
Lineage: Bacteria
Description: partial 16S ribosomal RNA
Rfam family: Bacterial small subunit ribosomal RNA
Source: RNAcentral